Molecule: non-coding RNA, 73 nt
Organism: Myotis davidii
Lineage: Eukaryota; Metazoa; Chordata; Mammalia; Chiroptera; Vespertilionidae
Source: Rfam
GCUGUGGUGGCUCAGUGGUUUGAGCCUUGUCCCAUGGACCAAGAGGUCCUGGGUUCGAUUCCCAGUCAGGGCA